This 293-nucleotide ribosomal RNA is filed under the name uncultured bacterium. RNAcentral describes it as "partial 16S ribosomal RNA". It matches the Rfam family "Archaeal small subunit ribosomal RNA", at positions 455 to 747 of the family's 1478-position model. The record is from RNAcentral.
GUGCCAGCAGCCGCGGUAAUACCGGCAGCACGAGUGAUGGCCGAUUUUAUUGGGCCUAAAGCGUCCGUAGCUUGCUGUGUAAGUCCAUUGGGAAAUCCACGCGCUCAACGCGUGGGCGGCCGGUGGAAACGGCACGGCUUGGGGCCGAGAGACUCGACGGGUACGUCCGGGGUAGGAGUGAAAUCCUAUAAUCCUGGACGGACCACCAAUGGGGAAACCACGUCGAGCGACCGGACCCGACAGUGAGGGACGAAAGCCAGGGUCUCGAACCGGAUUAGUAACCCCUGUAGUCC